UACGUAGGAGGCAAGCGUUGUCCGGAAUCACUGGGCGUAAAGCGCGUGUAGGCGGAUCGCUAAGUCUGUGGUGAAAGCGCCUGGCUUAACCGGGCGAGGUCCAUGGAAACUAGCGGUCUGGAGGCCGGUAGAGGGGGGGUGGAAUUCCGGGUGUAGUGGUGAAAUGCGUAGAGAUCCGGAGGAACACCAGUGGCGAAGGCGGCCCCCUGGGCCGCGCCUGACGCUGAGGAGCGAAAGCGUGGGGAGCGAACAGG
Molecule: ribosomal RNA, 254 nt
Filed under: uncultured bacterium
Lineage: Bacteria
Description: partial 16S ribosomal RNA
Rfam family: Bacterial small subunit ribosomal RNA
Source: RNAcentral